This is a long non-coding RNA of Hyaena hyaena (striped hyena), 321 nucleotides long. RefSeq lists it as uncharacterized. Lineage: Eukaryota; Metazoa; Chordata; Mammalia; Carnivora; Hyaenidae. The transcript is spliced from 3 exons. The record is from RefSeq and is a predicted model, not a curated record.
UGCAGGUCAGAACUUCAGAUAGGGCAUAGUGGGAUGGAUUGUCCCUGUUCUAAGAUGACUGUGAUAUCAGCUGGAAGACUUUGCAGCUGGGGACUAGAAUUAUCUGAAGACUCAUCCACCCACAUGUUUGGUUGUUGAUGCUGGCUGUCAGAACUCCUGGCACAAAGUAUGAAAUGAAAUGAAAUCCAGCCUCAUGAAAUGGAGCCAGAUCUUUAACACAGCCUAAGGAGUCCAGCUAUGUGACCAUGGGCAUCUCAUCAUUCUCAUCUGAAAAAUGGACAUGAUAAGUAUGCAUACCUCAAAAGAGCAUUAAGGGAAUUA